UGGUGAUCCGCUGCUUAUUAGUGUACUUCUCCGAAAGUGUAGAUGAUCUUAUUAAGGAUUACCAUGGUGCUCCAUCUGAUGAAGUAAAAGAGGAUCUUGCACAGCAUACAAUCAAAAUUGUCACCAAAGGUGGUUCUACGGAGGAUGACCCGUUGGAUGUUGGGAUUGUGCUGGAAGGCAGAGAAGUACUGUCUGGGUUGUCCAGUGUAGCAAGGGCGUGUGCCUUGUUACUAGGUCUGAUCUAUGCUGUGAACCUUAGUUACCCCAAACAACUCAGGUACACGUUUGAAUUUUGUCAAAAGAUGCUGUUAGAACUGGACAGUGGGAAACUUUCACCAAAAGUGCACGCACUGAAGUCCAAGUUGCUGAGUUAAAUGUGUGGAUAUCAGUGUCUCAAAAGAGGUAUGUGCAAGUUGCUAAGCAGUAGGUCUCAGGGACUUUUGUUUUGUGUAAAGUGAUGCUAUUUUUGGCUAAUGACAUGUUGUCAUGUUGUAAUAUUGAAACAUUGUCUUGACUACAACUUUCAGUUUGUUUUAUGCACUUUAUAGGCUAACAGCAGUGAAAAAAAAAUAUUUUAAAUGGAUUUUCUUUAGUUUUGUGUAACUUGCUGCAAUUUAUGGUCACUGAUGUUGUUGGCAUAUUCUAAUGACAGUGUUGUCUUUGUAAGAAGUUGUCAGUUUAUUGUUUGCACUGUAGUUCCCCCCCCCC
Long non-coding RNA from Astyanax mexicanus (Mexican tetra), 708 nucleotides. RefSeq lists it as uncharacterized. The transcript has 2 exons. NCBI's taxonomy places the organism in Eukaryota, Metazoa, Chordata, Actinopteri, Characiformes, Acestrorhamphidae. The record is from RefSeq and is a predicted model, not a curated record.